This 1395-nucleotide ribosomal RNA is filed under the name uncultured bacterium. RNAcentral's name for it is "16S ribosomal RNA". It matches the Rfam family "Bacterial small subunit ribosomal RNA". The record is from RNAcentral.
AGAGUUUGAUCCUGGCUCAGAUUGAACGCUGGCGGCAGGCCUAACACAUGCAAGUCGAGCGGAAACGAUACCAGCUUGCUGGUAGGCGUCGAGCGGCGGACGGGUGAGUAAUACUUAGGAAUCUACCUAGUAGUGGGGGAUAGCUCGGGGAAACUCGAAUUAAUACCGCAUACGACCUACGGGAGAAAGGGGGCAGUCUACUGCUCUCGCUAUUAGAUGAGCCUAAGUCGGAUUAGCUAGAUGGUGGGGUAAAGGCCUACCAUGGCGACGAUCUGUAGCUGGUCUGAGAGGAUGAACAGCCACACCGGGACUGAGACACGGCCCGGGCUCCUACGGGAGGCAGCAGUGGGGAAUAUUGGACAAUGGGGGAAACCCUGAUCCAGCCAUGCCGCGUGUGUGAAGAAGGCCUUUUGGUUGUAAAGCACUUUAAGCAGUGAAGAAGACUCCUCGAUUAAUACCCGUGGACGAUGACAUUAGCUGCAGAAUAAGCACCGGCUAACUCUGUGCCAGCAGCCGCGGUAAUACAGAGGGUGCAAGCGUUAAUCGGAAUUACUGGGCGUAAAGCGAGCGAAGGUGGCUUGAUAAGUCAGAUGUGAAAUCCCCGGGCUUAACCUGGGAACUGCAUCUGAAACUGUUAGGCUAGAGUAGGUGAGAGGAAGGUAGAAUUCCAGGUGUAGCGGUGAAAUGCGUAGAGAUCUGGAGGAAUACCGAUGGCGAAGGCAGCCUUCUGGCAUCAUACUGACACUGAGGCUCGAAAGCGUGGGUAGCAAACAGGAUUAGAUACCCUGGUAGUCCACGCCGUAAACGAUGUCUACUAGUCGUUGGGUCCCUUGAGGACUUAGUGACGCAGCUAACGCAAUGAGUAGACCGCCUGGGGAGUACGGCCGCAAGGUUAAAACUCAAAUGAAUUGACGGGGGCCCGCACAAGCGGUGGAGCAUGUGGUUUAAUUCGAUGCAACGCGAAGAACCUUACCUGGUCUUGACAUAUCUAGAAUCCUGCAGAGAUGCGGGAGUGCCUUCGGGAAUUAGAAUACAGGUGCUGCAUGGCUGUCGUCAGCUCGUGUCGUGAGAUGUUGAGUUAAGUCCCGCAACGAGCGCAACCCUUGUCCUUAGUUACCAGCGGGUUAAGCCGGGAACUCUAAGGAUACUGCCAGUGACAAACUGGAGGAAGGCGGGGACGACGUCAAGUCAUCAUGGCCCUUACGACCAGGGCUACACACGUGCUACAAUGGUAGGUACAGAGGGCAGCUACACAGCGAUGUGAUGCGAAUCUCAAAAAGCCUAUCGUAGUCCAGAUUGGAGUCUGCAACUCGACUCCAUGAAGUAGGAAUCGCUAGUAAUCGCGGAUCAGAAUGCCGCGGUGAAUACGUUCCCGGGCCUUGCACACACCGCCCG